This 516-nucleotide ribosomal RNA is filed under the name uncultured bacterium. RNAcentral describes it as "partial 16S ribosomal RNA". It matches the Rfam family "Bacterial small subunit ribosomal RNA", at positions 28 to 523 of the family's 1533-position model. The record is from RNAcentral.
GAUGAACGCUGGCGGCGUGCCUAAUACAUGCAAGUCGAACGCAUUGAGAGAAGUGCUUGCACUUUUCAAUUUGAGUGGCGAACGGGUGAGUAACACGUGGGCAACCUACCUGAUAGCGGGGGAUAACGAGUGGAAACAUUCGCUAAUACCGCAUAACAAUAGAGAAGGCAUCUUCUUUAUUUAAAAGGCGCUUUCAAGCGUCACUAUCAGAUGGGCCCGCGGUGCAUUAGUUAGUUGGUGGGGUGAAGGCCUACCAAGACGAUGAUGCAUAGCCGGCUUGCGAGACUGAUCGGCCACAUUGGGACUGAGACACGGCCCAAACUCCUACGGGAGGCUGCAGUAGGGAAUCUUCCACAAUGGACGAAAGUCUGAUGGAGCAACGCCGCGUGUGUGAUGAAGGCUUUCGGGUCGUAAAGUACUGUUGUAUGGGAAGAAAUGCUAGGCUAGGAAAUGAGCUUAGUUUGACGGUACCAUACCAGAAAGGGACGGCUAAAUACGUGCCAGCCGCCGCCGUAA